UGAUAUUGAUCUUCAUCCGAUGACGUGUC
This 29-nucleotide small RNA is filed under the name Bombyx mori (domestic silkworm). Its description in RNAcentral is "ovarian small RNA-32569". Lineage: Eukaryota; Metazoa; Arthropoda; Insecta; Lepidoptera; Bombycidae. The record is from RNAcentral.